ACGGGUGAGUAACAUAUCGGAACGUACCGAGGAAUGGGGGAUAACUAAUCGAAAGAUUAGCUUAUACCGCAUAUUCUCUGAGGAGGAAAGCAGGGGACCUUCGGGCCUUGCGUUAUUCCAGCGGCCGAUAUCUGAUUAACUAGUUGGUGGGGUAAAGGACUACCAAGGCGACUAUCAGUAGCGGGUCUGACAGGAUGAUCCGCCCCCCUGGCACUGACACACGGCCCGCACUCCUGCGGAAGGCUGCACUGGGGAAUUUUGGACAAUGGGCGCAAGCCUGAUCCAGCCAUGCCGCGUGUCUGAAUAAGGCCUUCGGGUUGUAAAGGACUUUUGUCAGGGAAGAAAAGGACAGGGUUAAUACCCCUGUCUGAUGACGGUACCUGAAGAAUAAGCACCGGCUAACUACGUGCCAGCAGCCGCGGUAAUACGUAGGGUGCGAGCGUUAAUCGGAAUUACUGGGCGUAAAGCGAGCGCAGACUGUUACUUGCGCAGGAUGUGAAAUCCCCGGGCUCAACCUGGGAACUGCGUUCUGAACUGGGUGACUAGAGUGUGUCAGAGGGAGGUAGAAUUCCACGUGUAGCAAUGAAAUGCGUAGAGAUGUGGAGGAAUACCGAUGGCGAAAGCAGCCUCCUGGGAUAACACUGACGUUCAUGCUCGACCGCGUGGGUAGCAAACAGGAUUAGAUACCCUGGGUAGUCCACGUCCUAAAC
This 710-nucleotide ribosomal RNA is filed under the name uncultured bacterium. RNAcentral's name for it is "bacterial SSU rRNA". It matches the Rfam family "Bacterial small subunit ribosomal RNA", at positions 102 to 807 of the family's 1533-position model. The record is from RNAcentral.